Durio zibethinus is the source of this 2054-nucleotide non-coding RNA. Lineage: Eukaryota; Viridiplantae; Streptophyta; Magnoliopsida; Malvales; Malvaceae. The record is from RefSeq and is a predicted model, not a curated record.
UUGUUUUGCAGGUUCAUUUUGACUGGCUGCUAUGAUGGUUUGGGAAGGGUACGGAAAGGAGCUGGAUGGUGUCCACAUAUACUAGAAGGACACAGUGGUGCAAUUAGUAUCAACUCAGAAAGUUUGGGCUAGUAGUGGUCUAUGGUCAUUUUUAACAUUUUAGUCAUUGAUCUUAAUGAAGGAUUUUAAUGUAUGACUAUGUCAUAUGAAUUUUACUUCAUAAAAGCUAUUGCUUUCAUCUGAUAGCAUUGGAAAACUCCAAGCCUGCUCUAUGUAUCAUCCUUUCUGUUUUGGUGAAAUGAAACGAUGUUGUCAGUGGUGUCUAUUUUAUGCCUAAUCCUGCGUGGUGUCCUUCAAUCUAUAUCUAGGUUUGUUUUUACUCGUAUUCGUGAUUAUCUUUUUAUUGAUGAGUAGGGUAUGUUGCAUGUGCAGAGGCAGGAAGUGCUACAGAAGCCACUGCUUCAAAAGUUCGAACUCAGAGGAUGUGGAAGGCAAUUAGAAAAAUGAAUUCAUUUCAAAAUGGAUAGUGUAAAAUUAAUUCCCUUACUAACUGGUACAUCCUUUUUCUAUGAAAGUUUGAUGCAGAGGACUCCAAUGAUCAUCCUGUAAGGAUAAGAGCAUUCAAGAUCUUGCAUGGGCAUAAUGAAUCUGUUCACAGUGUUGCGGCAAAGACUUCAGGAGACAUGGUUCUUGGGAUUGUACAAUCAAUUUAUGGUGGACAAAUGACUCUGAUACAGAUGGAGAUGUGGUAUCAAUCAAGAAAAGAAAGAUGGAUAAUAAAGCUGAGGAAUCUCAAUCAGAGAAAGGCUUCUAUAGAGAAUAUUCAUGCUUUGUAAGGGCACUUUGAAAGUAAAACAAGAAGAAUAUGGACUUUUUCUGAUAGCAGCGAUGAGAGGCUGUGCCUACACUUGUGGGCCAUACACAGUGUGUGUCGUGUGGUUUGGCCUCAACAUGAGACAAUUUAUUUGGCAUGAUGGGAUCACUCUUUUAGACAAUGGGAUGUUGAGACAGGCAAAGAUUUGUCAAAUAUAGCACAUCUCUCUCUCUCUCUCUCUCUCUCUCUCUCUCCAUUUGUCUUUGUGUUUGCAUGCACUUGCAUUCUAGUUAUACGAUGGCAAUUACAUUUUGUGCUUCUUGAAUCAUGUCUUCGCACUUUUUCUGAUGUUUAAAAGUACAAUUUUUGUUCAUACGAAAGAAGGGAUAAAAGGAAAUAUUAUUGCUUAGGUUGUUUUUCAUUUUCCGCUCUUCCCCAACCUGGUUCCUCUUUUGCUUUCCGUUUUCUGUGGGUCUAUUGCAUCCCUUUACCCGCCUUUAACUGUUUUGUAUGUCCUUCCUCCCAUUUUGCCCACCCUUAUUGGGAGGCUGGCAUCAUUGUACAUCACUACACCUGUUAAUCAAUUUUUUUUUCUUAAAAAUUUGCAAUCUGUAACUUUUAUUAUCGUAUGGUUGGAAUUUGAGUAGUUGUUGCUUUUAGUAUUUGGCUUGGUUUUUAUGUUGAUUCGUUUCUUUCCCUGAUUAUCUUCUGUUGGAAAGAUUAAGGUAGAAAACCUUUUUGUUUUCCAAAGUUUGAAUGAUACCAUCCUUCAUGCACAGUUCUGUGGUAAAGUCCUUAACUGCAUUGAUAUAGGCAGGGAAGGAUCGGCUCUCAUUGCUGCUGUUGGUUCUGGCCCAAUUCUUAGAAUAUGGGAUCCUUGUAUGCUGGGUCUGUUGUUCAUAAUAUCAUGUAUGUUAAUGUUUUUCUUUUGCCUCUCUUUCUCACCCAUUUGGUGCCCGUGUGGACACAUGAAACCAUUUAAAGUACCAUCUCACAUGAAACUUUUACCUUUUCAAGGAAGAACGGCAUCUGUGUUUCAGUUCUCUUCACAUAAUUCUUGGAUUUCAGCUUGCUAGUGGCACAAUACGUCUUCUUUUCAUUUACUUUCUUCAUCCUAUGAUGGGAAAUAGUGUUGUGGGUUCUAAGAUCAGCAGUAUCAUAUUUUCUGCAUUUUCACAAUUUAACUAUGUAUUACAUGCCAAACAAGAAGCAACCUUUUGUUUCUCUGGAUACUGUUUUG